RNAcentral lists this transfer RNA (82 nucleotides) under Schistosoma mansoni. Lineage: Eukaryota; Metazoa; Platyhelminthes; Trematoda; Strigeidida; Schistosomatidae. The record is from RNAcentral.
CCGAUGAAGGGGCUCGAUAGAAGACUGUCGCUCAUUCUGGAGCACAUGCUUAGAUUCAGAUCAUGCUCUAGUGCGAGGUGGU